AACGGAGGUGGCUAGCGUUACUCGGAUUUACUGGGUGUAAAGCGUGCGCAGGCGGCUUUGCAAGACAGAGGUGAAAUCCCCGGGCUCAACCUGGGAACUGCCUUUGUGACUGCAAGGCUAGAGUACGGCAGAGGGGGAUGGAAUUCCGCGUGUAGCAGUGAAAUGCGUAGAUAUGCGGAGGAACACCAAUGGCGAAGGCAAUCCCCUGGGCCUGUACUGACGCUCAUGCACGAAAGCGUGGGGAGCAAACAGG
This 253-nucleotide ribosomal RNA is filed under the name uncultured microorganism. RNAcentral describes it as "partial 16S ribosomal RNA". It matches the Rfam family "Bacterial small subunit ribosomal RNA", at positions 524 to 776 of the family's 1533-position model. The record is from RNAcentral.